AUGUCUUCUCAUUCUUCCACUUUGUCCUCUCUUCGAUCACUGGAUUCUCCUGUUCAUGUCUUCACUGCUGAUGGUACUCCACUUUCUGUUGCUAGUAGAGGCAAUCUUACCACUCCUUAUUCUGUUCCUGAUGUUGCUCAUGUUCCUCGACUUACCAUGAAUCUGUUUUCUGCUGGUCAACUUACUGAUUCUGGUUGUCGCGUCAUCCUUGACGUUGACUCUUGUUCUGUCCAGGACCGUCGCACGCACACUCUGGUUGGGGCUGGCCCUCGCCGCCGUGAUUCUCAGGGUCUUUGGGAGUUGGACUGGCUUCAUGUUCCUUCCGCUGCCACCACCAUCGCCAGUUCUUCCGCUUCUGUCGCCUCCGUUACUGGUUCCUUCCAGCAGUGGCAUCAUCGACUUGGUCAUCUGUGUGGUUCUCGGUUGUCUUCUUUAGUUCGUCGAGGUCUUCUGGGGUCUGUCUCAGGAGAUGUCUCUUUAGAGUGUCAGGGUUGUCGUCUUGGCAAGCAGAUUCAGUUACCAUAUUCACAUAGUGAGUCAGUGUCCAAGCGUCCUUUCGAUUUAGUCCACUCUGAUGUAUGGGGUCCGGCCCCUUUCGCUUUGAAAGGUGGUCAUAAAUACUAUAUUAUUUCAUAG
Molecule: ribosomal RNA, 636 nt
Filed under: Triticum aestivum (bread wheat)
Lineage: Eukaryota; Viridiplantae; Streptophyta; Magnoliopsida; Poales; Poaceae
Description: partial small subunit ribosomal RNA
Source: RNAcentral